GUGGAACCGGGCAUGGAUUCAACGGGGGCCCACAUAAGAGUUCGUUCCCGGAAAAUGAAGAAAGCGGGAAAGUUUGGAGGGAAGACGGGAUUGAACCGUUGAGUUGGUUAUGACUCACGUUUAAGAGACGGAGUCGGGUGAUGUUGAGGUCGGGAACGGAUCCCGAAAAGGAGUUGAAUUGGAGGUUGAGGGAGGUGAGACGGGUGAGGUUUUUUAGUGUUUCCGGGAUGUUUCCUGUGAAGGAAUUGAAGGAGAGAUCUAAAUUGGUAAUUUGGGGAGAAACACUAAGAGGGAUUUCACCAGAAAAGUUGUUGUUUUCAAGGUAGAGAAACUGGAGGGAGGGAAUGGAGAUGAUAU
This 357-nucleotide long non-coding RNA is filed under the name Lactuca sativa (garden lettuce). Its description in RNAcentral is "long non-coding RNA (LSAT_LNC001995)". The record is from RNAcentral. Lineage: Eukaryota; Viridiplantae; Streptophyta; Magnoliopsida; Asterales; Asteraceae.